GAUUUUUGCAUUUUUCUUCCAUUUUCUUCGUUUAUUUCUCUAUGAAUACAGUGUGUUAACCAUUCGCUCGAUCAUCCUCUGCGGGAUAGUAACGAAAAUGGAAGGAUAUUUAUUAGCAUUAAGAUUGCAAUAAUUCUUCAAGCUUUAAAAACACUGGAAGUUUAUUCCUCCAACGAAACAAUAUUUCCACAAAUGAGGCAAGAGUGGCAUUAUCAGACAUCGCGUGCAAUCUUUCAUUCGUUUCCUCGAACAACGUUGGAACGAGGAAAACACAUUUAGAAUCCCGAAGUAAACUCGAUAAAUACGUGAAAUCGACGUGAGACGUCCGUGAGCGAUUUUCUUCGCGAGAGUAAACUCAAGAUCGAGAGAGAGAGAGCUGGCUAGGGAGUUAGAAGGGGCGGGAGGAGACAGCGAUGCGACGAAGAUCGAAGAAUUGAAAACUUGCUCAUCACCGGUCGCGCUCCGCUUUGUUUCCGCUCGGGGUCGAAACUUACGGCAUCUAAGUCGAAAGAGUACUGUUUUCACCUGGAGGCUCUGGGAGUUCCGCAUUUGACGCGAUCAGAUCUGUUUGCACCUGGCUGCCUCACGGAAACUCCUUCACGGAAACUCGGUGUGCUCGGGACGCUCGGUAAUCUCAAACUUUUAACCCUUUGAGAUGCCCGGUGCCGCGCGCGCGUGUACUGCUACCCGCUGCAAAUAACGUUAAACGUUCUCCAGGAGAAUCUUUGAACGACGACUCGUCAUUGCAGUCGAAGAAGUGCACCACCGAUGUUGAGCACGUAAUUGAAAAUACCGGAAUCUUGAAUCUUCAGUGUGCGAUAAAUAAUUGUUUCUGUAAUCGAUUAACGAAUUAACGAUGAACAAAUUACGAUCUAACUUCUUUAUAUUGAUCGUGCAUUGAUUGUUGUUCCCACUGAUUGUGAGCGGUUCGCGAUGUAUGGAUUAAACUGCUCGAUAUUCGUUUAAUCUUGCAGAGUGGUUUAUAUUGCGUCAUGGGAUUGUGUAGGAUUAAACGGCCCAAAAAUUGCAAAGGGAGAUUGAUGGUUUAUAGUUCGAAGUAUGUUUUGCGCUUCGGAUUGAGUGUUUUAUUGUGCAGUUCCCAUAUGUGACGCGAAUCGAUGCAAGAAUUAUGAUACGACGAACGCAUGCCUGGACAUGAUAAGUUGUUAUGCAAUCGUUUGUCUGAACCGAUUGAACCGGAAUAUAUAGCUUACAGCAAUUUGAUUUUCUAAAUGCAAUUGGCAUGCAUUAAGCGCAGUAAAUCGCAUAUUUUAGCAAAAAAAAUGAUAAUAAAAGAGGUAGAUGUGAUAUAAAAUAAUUUACAUUACUCAGAAAUUAUCGUAAAAACUCUGAAAUUAAUAUUUAAUUUAUAUAUUAAUUUAUAUAUUAAUUUACUCUUUCGCUAUUAACUCUGUCAAUUACUUAAUAUUUUAUCAAUUACUAAAUUACUAUCAAUUAUUAAAUAUUCAGUAUUCAUUGUAGACUAUAAAUAAAAUAUUAUUUUAGUAAGAGCAAACAGUUUAAGAAAACUUAUAAAAUUCAAUAUUGCAAAAUUGCAUUGUAAAUUUAUUGUACAAAAUGCCACGACACGUGGUGCAAAUUUGAAGAGUACGAACUAUUUGAACAAUAAUCUUUUUUCACGAUCAUACGCGCACGAACCAAAGCACGGUCAGCGGUUUACGCAGUUGACACAGUGUGUACGUGUAUGUGCGUGUGAGUGCAGGCUUUGCAUGUUUUGAACGUGUCAUGUUACGAGAUAGGGUACGUUUUAUAUUGACCCAGCACAGGAUUAUUCGCCACCUUGUUAUUCGGCAUGGCCAAAUUAAGCCUCGCUGAGCGGCUUGCGGGUAAAACCACGAGGUGGGCGUUGCCUACCAGUUAAUUCCGCUUGCGAAGGUUUAAAGCAAACGCGACCUGCAAACCGAGUCGUAGUCGUUGAUUCCUUGAGCAAGAUCUAACAAGCUUAAUUUAUUUUACCAACGGCGCACACCGAUGCUCCAUUCCUGUUUAUACGUAUAAAUAUUGGUUCCUUUAAUUGUAGGUACUUUCCUUUUCGGCAAUCUUUACCACGAAUAUUUGUGCAUUUAACAAAAGAUAGUUAUUUUCUUGCAGUUUGUCUCUCUUCCUAUAUUUAUGACAAAUUUGUACAAUAUUAAUUUUCUUUCCCUUUUUCAGUUCUUGCAGAUUUAUAUUAGGCACAAAGCUUGUGCUGAUUAUGAUGCACCUAAUUGAAUUUGAUCAUUAAUUAAAAAAAAUAAAAUUGUCUUUAAGAUUACACAGGGAACAUUAUAGUAGGAUCAGAUUACGUAUUCUCAUUUCUGUCAUGAUUAUUAAUGCCGAAAGAAACUUAGAAAUGAAAAGGCUGUCAGAAAGUUAAGCAAAAAUGAUCACGUUUCUAGAUAUACCUAACAAUAGGAACUCACGUCAAGCAAUCGCAUGUAGAAUAAAUCAUGCAUUGCAGGAUUAAGAUUAGGCAAACAAUGGUCCGGCAAGAUAAACGCUUAAUAGUGAUGAAUUUCGUGCGCAAUUCGAAAAUUAAUGCGAAAGCGAGAUAUAAAACGCAAAGGGGUAAGCUGCAAUUCCUGCCACUAUUUAAACGCGAAAAUAGCAUCUCUGGCGGCUUAGCUCGGGAACAAAAAUUUACUAGCAGCUGCUGUCCAGGCAUAACUUCAGGGGUUGCUACAUUUUAAUAGUGAUACAUUAUCCCAGACUUUUAAUAUUACAAAGUGCAGCCCGGUAAUUCUGCAUCAUCCGUCCGCCAUCGUGAGGUGAGAGACGACGGCUUUGUCGUGAUUUAUGUCACGGUUGAAGCUGGAUGCGCGGCGCGAUGAGCGAAAGAAUUAUUUUUUCGCAGUUGUCGGCUGCCUCCUCCCUUUCUCCCGUUGUAGCCGGACGUAAAUCGCGAGAACUUCCGCUUCAGACCAAAACUCUCUCGCAAUCCAAGCAAUAGCCCGUUGCUAUCUGUACCUGUAAGAGCUCGGAUCAAGUGGAUCAAGUAAAGGCGAUCCUCUUAUUUUAUUCUCACGCCGAACAACGCACGAGAAGAACGAGGAGCAUUUUAUCGUGACGGAGCGAGACAGACCGUCCAACUGCUAGUUCUAACUCGCGAAAAAGUUGCCGGACCGUCCAGGAGAGUACCGGAAACCGAAAGAACCGGCGAUCAUCGUGUCCUUUAGUUCGCGUUGGAGCAAUUGCCGGACAAUCGCCGGACAAUCGCCGUGCAUUUCGCACAAUGUGGUUUCAUUAUGGUACGGUUACGAUGAUCUUCGGCCACCGGAGAGCUCGCCCGAGCCGCUCGAAGUCCGGUGGAGAUUGGCGCGCCGCCAAAAUGGCGCUCAGCACGCUAGAUUAAGCAGAUUAACCGUGCGCGUCUCCAGUGGGCAUUGUAACAUCGGACCGGGCGUCCGGAACGUCGUUAAAUUCUUGCUGUUUGCGAAUAAAUUGCGCCUUCCUAAUUGGCUGAUCCCUAUUCCAUUAAGCCGGAGGGAAAACACGGCCGAACAUCCGAUAGCAUAGUCGUAAUGUUAGUCUGUAGAGAUAGGACGAUUGCAUCAGCCUGCCCAUUGAUCUUUCAUCUUCCGAAGCUUAAUCUUCAAAUAAUAAUCGAAGAUUAUCGUGUUAGUCUUCAUCGACAGGAAUUGUUCAUCCCUUUCUUUAUUAAUUCUUGAGAGAAUAAUUCUUUCCGGCUGUAGGUGUGGUACUUAACUGGCAAGAGCGAUUUAUCACACAAUCGUGCGCGCGUGAUGCUGAAAAUGCGUAGCGUUAACAUGUUGCGACAUCAAUUGGUACAAUUUCCCGAUGAACACACGAAACAUAGCAGCUGGCACUAUCGUUUACAAGAUAAAAACGAUUUGCGGAUUCGCUAUAUAUGUAUAUAUAACACAUAACUUUUUCCUCUCUUUCAACAUGACACAGAUGCGCCGAACAGUUGGAAACUUCACAGUUUAGCCGGUGAGUAAGCUAAAAAAAUUUCCAGUACUUUCCGGUAAAAAAGAUUCGUAAAAAGUUGCGCGUGACGCUGUCUCGUCGAAAACAGAUAUUAGACGAGCAGCCUGUUGCUUUUUUAAUGUAAUGCAAUGCAAUGGUCGAGGUGUUAAAUUCUCGUCUACUCUACUGUUAUAUGAAAAGAACGAUCUCCGUGUUUGACUGACUACUCCACUGCAAUUUGGCCGAGAACUGUUAAAUUAUGCAAGGUAGUUAAGUGAAAAUCUGCAAAUUUAAAAUAUUAAAGAGCGAAUCUAAUUGCGUACAUUUAUACGUUGUUACCAAUAUCGAACGAACAGAAUUCAGAUAUCAUUCUGUAUACCUGAACAUUCGGCUACAUGUUAAUUGAUUUUGAAUAAUUUCCAGCCCAAAGUCACAAAUACGAUGCAACAAAUUUCGAGAAAAUGAGAUAUAAUUUAUUUAAAAUAACAAAUAACAGAAAAUGAAGUAAUAAACAAUAAAAACGAAAUAUCAGUGAAUAAAUUGAUAAAGUAGAUUAAGUAAAAUCAAUUUAAUUGAUUGACAUUUUUGAUUUAGAAAGAUUUUUAUGUACUCAUCUGCAGACGCUUCAUUAUUUCACGUUGAUGUCACCGUCGCGACAAUUUUAUGCAAAUAAUUAAAGCACGGUGAAAUAAAUUUAAACUAAAUAUUCAAUAUGAUUAUCGAGUGUUCUUCAAAUAUGGGAAUAACCAAUCGAGUUCUCUUUUAAAUUUUUAACUGUCAUAAAAUAUGAAGAAUUGUUAAUAUUUUCAGCGCAUCUAGUUCCUAACGUCAGUCUUAUAACGACGGUUUUAUUAAGCGAGGCGCGUUAGAUGGCAAUCGCCAUCGCGAAAGAUGUCACAUUUCAACGCAGAAGGCAAGAGUGCGAUAUCUACGAGUUCACUAUAUUCGAGAAUACAUAUUUAUGCAUAUAUGUACGUAGGUAAUGUCCGUGUGAAAAUGCAGCGCCAGGACACAUUGCUAUUGCGCGCACCACCACCAAAGUGUACCUCCAAGAUAUGCAGAAGCGAGCGUCACGGUUGCAAGAAGAAGUAAAUGGAUGGCAGUAUCUUUUCUUACAUGAACUAGAAGCUCAUGAAUUAUCGUAACAUUCUAACGCUUUCCGUCAAGUUCUACGAUUUUUAUUCUAUUUUCUUUCUCUCACACAUCUUCCAAGGGUUAAGAUACUUCGUACGGUACCCAUGAGAUCGUGAGAUGCGAAUACUUUAAGUUGAAAGUUGAAACUAGAACAUGUUAAGAGAUAAAUAACACAUGCAGUGCACGAUGUGAACAGAAAUUGUGUACUUUAAAUAGUAUACUAUUUCAGAUAAUAAAUUUGUGUUUCAGAUUAAUCAU
This is a long non-coding RNA of Ooceraea biroi (clonal raider ant), 5319 nucleotides long. RefSeq lists it as uncharacterized. The record is from RefSeq and is a predicted model, not a curated record. Lineage: Eukaryota; Metazoa; Arthropoda; Insecta; Hymenoptera; Formicidae.